RNAcentral lists this unclassified non-coding RNA (363 nucleotides) under Hevea brasiliensis (rubber tree). Lineage: Eukaryota; Viridiplantae; Streptophyta; Magnoliopsida; Malpighiales; Euphorbiaceae. The record is from RNAcentral.
AUUACUGUCAAUUUGACCCAUUGGUCGAAGUAGAAAAAUAGAAAAAAAAUACAAAUAUAAAUUAAAAAAUCAUUUUUAAUGAUUUUAGGUUAGGCCUUUGGGAAAUGGGGUUUUAUAAGUGUGUGAGAGAGAGAGAAGGAGUUCGAGGAGAGAGGGAAAAAUAUAAAAAUAUUUUUAUUUAGAUUAAUAAUAAAUUUAUCAGUAUUAUUAUCAUUUUCAAUGUUGACCAAUUCAAGUCAUUUAGGCAAGAUUGCUCAAAUUAACAGAUUCAGGUAAAAUAGAAGAAGUGUGCAAAGGUUCAGAUAGGCCUUAUUCUCAUGGAAAGUUCAAGGAGAUUCUUCUUCUUCUUUUAUGUGGAAAAAG